GAUGAACGCUGGCGGCGCGCCUAACACAUGCAAGUCGAACGAUUAAAGCACCUUCGGGUGUGUAUAAAGUGGCGAACGGCUGAGUAACACGUGGGCAACCUGCCCCUUUCAUUGGGAUAGCCACGGGAAACCGUGGAUAACACCGAAUACUUCGAGACUUCCGCAUGGAAGACUCGAGAAAGCUCCGGCGGAGAGGGAUGGGCCCGCGGCCUGUUAGCUUGUUGGUGGGGUAACGGCCUACCAAGGCAAUGAUGGGUAGCUGGGUUGAGAGACCGACCAGCCAGAUUGGGACUGAGACACGGCCCAGACUCCUACGGGAGGCAGCAGUGGGGAAUCUUGCACAAUGGGCGAAAGCCUGAUGCAGUGACGCCGCGUGCGGGAUGAAGGCCUUCGGGUUGUAAACCGCUUUCAGCAGGGACGAGGCGAAAGUGACGGUACCUGCAGAAGAAGCCCCGGCUAACUACGUG
RNAcentral lists this ribosomal RNA (467 nucleotides) under uncultured bacterium. RNAcentral's name for it is "partial 16S ribosomal RNA". It matches the Rfam family "Bacterial small subunit ribosomal RNA", at positions 28 to 507 of the family's 1533-position model. The record is from RNAcentral.